Daucus carota subsp. sativus is the source of this 974-nucleotide long non-coding RNA. RefSeq lists it as uncharacterized. The record is from RefSeq and is a predicted model, not a curated record. Lineage: Eukaryota; Viridiplantae; Streptophyta; Magnoliopsida; Apiales; Apiaceae. The transcript is spliced from 4 exons.
GUUGAAUUCUAUAAUGCCUUUUCGAUGGGCUUUCUUGCAAGCUUAUUUUUUGAGACAGUUCUACUGUAAGAGCCUGGUAACUCUUUCCAUAUAACUGGGCUUGAAGGCAGAUGAUUGUUUGCUGUUAGACGGCAUUAGUUCAGGGGUUUGGAGUAGCAACUAUUUUCCUCUUCAACAAUUAAGAGACUGGAAAAGCCCUUGAUGCUUUAACCUUUAUAUAAUCCAUCUGCUUGAGCUGAUAUCUUGUCAAUUCCAUGUAAAACUCGCCUGCAAAAGGUAAGAGAAAUCAUUUAACUAACAAUAUCACGAGGCAAGAGUCGUAAUAUAAUAUUUUCUGAUACAUAAUUACCAAGCUCUAUUACGCUCCUGUGGAUACAAUCUCCUCUACCAACACAAAUAAGCUCGCAUUUUCUAAUUAGUUCUUUGUUGUACUUGUGAUGAAGUAAGAUGUUUUUAUAAAGUGCAGACCGCAGAUAUUUGACUAUAUCUGCGCAACUGAGCUGUUUGUCGAGUAGAUACUAAAAUGCACCAGAAGUACAAUUUUGUGUCCUAUUCCCUGGAGGCUGCAAAUAUCAGUAGAGGGUUCUCAGCUUAAAUUGUUAAAUACCCGGUUCCAGGCCAAUGAGGAAAACUUUCCUGUAUGAUCAUUCAGCACCAGCAGUUUGUGUAAGAGUGAACAGGGUUCCCGGCGGUUUUUUGCUGUGCUUGCACACCAAGUUGCCCUUUGCUGAAAGCUCCGCGGCCUGCAGGACCACCCUACCACUAGUCUUCUGCCAAAAUGGUUAAAUUUUAAGAGAAUGGUUUGUUUGUAUAAUCCAAUACAACUUCGGCUUUUUUUUAGUUCUUUUUCCUUAUGGAACAAAUCAAAUUAGACUAUUUUUUCAUGUCUGCUAGUAUCGUCCAAAUUUUCUGCAAUUUAUUGUUUGGUUAUUGAUUUAAGAAUGCUGAAUGAACUCUUUUAUUUGUACUUGGUA